AAAAAGCGACGCUAGGGUUCCGACCGGACAUCGAUUGCCGGUGCUGGUCCGAGAGCGGCGGACCUCCGAUAGGAGGUUACACGGCGGGAUAAAAGCCCGGGAGAC
RNAcentral lists this small RNA (105 nucleotides) under Pseudoxanthomonas spadix. Its description in RNAcentral is "Guanidine-I sequence". It matches the Rfam family "Guanidine-I riboswitch aptamer". From Rfam's summary of the family: This family represents a conserved RNA structure found upstream of the ykkC and yxkD genes in Bacillus subtilis and related genes in other bacteria. The function of this family is unclear although it has been suggested that it may function to switch on efflux pumps and detoxification systems in response to harmful environmental molecules. Nelson showed that this riboswitch senses and responds to guanidine and it was renamed Guanidine-I riboswitch. Lineage: Bacteria; Pseudomonadati; Pseudomonadota; Gammaproteobacteria; Lysobacterales; Lysobacteraceae. The record is from RNAcentral. RNAcentral also lists the same sequence under 1 other name.